AAGCGCACUAACCCCAAUUUUUCCCUCUUUUUUUCCCAAAUCCCUCCCUCACUUCCAUUUGGACCGUAGGGCUUUUUAGCUUUCAAAGUUGAGGAAUAGCUUUCCCAACUUGGGUUCACGCUUGGACCGUCACUAAUGUAAAUUUUUGCUUUCUUCCCCAUUCUAUGAAAGAGAUUUACAACGCUGAGUUUGAUUGUGGGUUCAGAUCUAUAUUUUCGAUUUUCUACUGAGAGUAACAAAUUUUUUUGUUGAAUCGGUGUAUUUUGAAGAAGGAUAGAACACUCUCUUUUAAAUUAGAGAUAACUCUUGAGGACCUUCAGAGAAGACGCAAUUGUCACUAGCUACUAUUCCUCUUUCUGCUCUACAUGGUGUUUGAAUCAAUCUCAUGAUGAAAUCCUAGCUGGUGUUGAUGUAAGUAAGAUUUCCAUGCCUGAAGAGGAAUAUCUGAAUGGACCAGGGGAGACUUACUCUAUCACU
Molecule: long non-coding RNA, 477 nt
Organism: Nicotiana tabacum (common tobacco)
Lineage: Eukaryota; Viridiplantae; Streptophyta; Magnoliopsida; Solanales; Solanaceae
Source: RefSeq, a predicted model, not a curated record